CCCCACUUGGCGUUCGGCAGUUAAAGAUGGCAACCGCCACAUGUUUGUUUAUACAAACGAUGACCACCUAGCCUUUCGACAAUCAAGCUGCGGUUAACCUCAAACCACAGCUUCUGGGCGGCUAAUAAGGGGCACACUCCUCCUGCAGUUUGUUCGGUUAGUGCAAGGUGAAAAAGGUCAACAAGGCAAACUGCAGCUUCGGGCUGGUUACUAGGCAGCACACUCCAUAUGCUGGGUGGUCGGUCAUUCGUUCAUACGAAUGACAUGAUGAAUUACUUUCGUGGUUUUAUUCAGGGGAAAUAAACAGAAACAUUGUAGCAAAGUGGCAGACAGAGGGUACUUUGUAACAGUCCCACCUGUGUGAUCGCCGGCGAGCAGGUAAGUCCCCUGGACGGCGUGGACGUGCUAUGCCGCUCGCUGGGUCACCAAGGACAGCAUAGCACACCCGCCGUCUUUUAAGGGGUUAAACAGAAUUUAGAAUAAAGGAAGCAUAAACAUUAGAUGACUCUGUACAGGGAAUUUCUAAGAAGGCUGUGUAAGUCACAUGCAGGAAUCUGUGCCUAGGACUAUAGCAUCCCUUUAAGUUAAGUUUAGGCAAAUUUUGCAUCAGAACAACUAAAUCGAAAUGAAGUUUUUAUGGUGCCAGGAGGCCCCCGUGCUCGCUGUAUUUUUCGGGAGUUAAACUGUUUAUUUAGGGGAUGGUAUGGUGCCUGGAGUGCCCCUUUAAGAAAAUUAAUAGUGAGUAGAAUUGAAAACCUGCUUGCAAAAUUAAGACAAAAAUAGCUUAGUUUAGAGAAUUAAUUAUUUGUAAACUUAAUGUUCAGUGCAUAAAACCUUCUACUUACUAUAAUGUUUUAAC
This is a non-coding RNA of Pelobates cultripes (western spadefoot toad), 859 nucleotides long. Lineage: Eukaryota; Metazoa; Chordata; Amphibia; Anura; Pelobatidae. The record is from the annotation of a GenBank genome assembly.